RNAcentral lists this ribosomal RNA (255 nucleotides) under Isochrysis galbana. Its description in RNAcentral is "partial Bacterial small subunit ribosomal RNA". It matches the Rfam family "Bacterial small subunit ribosomal RNA", at positions 534 to 788 of the family's 1533-position model. The record is from RNAcentral. Lineage: Eukaryota; Haptophyta; Isochrysidales; Isochrysidaceae.
GCAAGCGUUGCUCGGAAUUACUGGGCGUAAAGGGCGUGUAGGCGGAUAGUCUAGUCAGGCGUGAAAGCCCCGGGCUUAACCUGGGAACUGCGCUUGAUACUGGCAAUCUAGAGUCCGGGAGAGGGUGGUGGAAUUCCCAGUGUAGAGGUGAAAUUCGUAGAUAUUGGGAAGAACACCGGUGGCGAAGGCGGCCACCUGGUCCGGUACUGACGCUAAGGUGCGAAAGCGUGGGGAGCAAACAGGAUUAGAUACCCU